Molecule: ribosomal RNA, 266 nt
Filed under: Alternaria parvicaespitosa
Lineage: Eukaryota; Fungi; Ascomycota; Dothideomycetes; Pleosporales; Pleosporaceae
Description: 5.8S ribosomal RNA
Rfam family: 5.8S ribosomal RNA (bases 34-187)
About the family: 5.8S ribosomal RNA (5.8S rRNA) is a component of the large subunit of the eukaryotic ribosome. It is transcribed by RNA polymerase I as part of the 45S precursor that also contains 18S and 28S rRNA. Functionally, it is thought that 5.8S rRNA may be involved in ribosome translocation.
Source: RNAcentral
GCAAUCAGCGUCAGUAACAACGUAAUUAAUUACAACUUUCAACAACGGAUCUCUUGGUUCUGGCAUCGAUGAAGAACGCAGCGAAAUGCGAUACGUAGUGUGAAUUGCAGAAUUCAGUGAAUCAUCGAAUCUUUGAACGCACAUUGCGCCCUUUGGUAUUCCAAAGGGCAUGCCUGUUCGAGCGUCAUUUGUACCCUCAAGCUUUGCUUGGUGUUGGGCGUCUUUUGUCUCCAGCUCGCUGGAGACUCGCCUUAAAGUCAUUGGCA